This 220-nucleotide long non-coding RNA is filed under the name Mytilus galloprovincialis (Mediterranean mussel). Lineage: Eukaryota; Metazoa; Mollusca; Bivalvia; Mytilida; Mytilidae. The record is from RNAcentral.
GAUCAUUGAUAUUUGAGUUGCUUUACUAUCAGUACAUACCAGUUUUACAACUAUUUUGAGAUCCUGCCCUUUUUAGGACAUUGUCCAGUGACUUGAAAAGAUUUUGCAAUUUAAAUGCUAAGUUUUCUGCUUAAGUAAGAUUGAUAUGAACAACUUACAAUAGACAAUGAUUUUUCUUUAAAUAACAUACCUGUUUAUACAGCUCAGUUUUGUCGACCAC